AUUCAUUUCUACAUGAAUAUGUUAUCAACAUGCAUUUCAUUCUAUGCAUUAUAUUUACAUGCAUCCUUCUAGUUUACAUGCGUAUAUAUAUAAUCUUUUAUAUACAUCUAUUUCAGCAUUUACAUCAUAUCAUGCAUUACUAGCAUUACAUUAUUAUCAUGCAUUACUAGCAUUAUGUAACUUGCACACUUUAACUCUAACUAGCUCUUUAUGGUAGUUUCAUAAGUUCAAUCUCAAUGCUAACCAAUACUCUGAUU
RNAcentral lists this long non-coding RNA (257 nucleotides) under Ananas comosus (pineapple). Its description in RNAcentral is "long non-coding RNA (ACOM_LNC024247)". The record is from RNAcentral. Lineage: Eukaryota; Viridiplantae; Streptophyta; Magnoliopsida; Poales; Bromeliaceae.